AAACUUUCAACAAUGGAUCUCUUGGUUCCGGCAUCGAUGAAGAACGCAGCGAAAUGCGAUAAGUAAUGUGAAUUGCAGAAUUCCGUGAAUCAUCGAAUCUUUGAACGCACAUUGCGCCCCCUGGCAUU
RNAcentral lists this ribosomal RNA (128 nucleotides) under Talaromyces flavus. RNAcentral describes it as "5.8S ribosomal RNA". It matches the Rfam family "5.8S ribosomal RNA", at positions 1 to 127 of the family's 154-position model. From Rfam's summary of the family: 5.8S ribosomal RNA (5.8S rRNA) is a component of the large subunit of the eukaryotic ribosome. RNAcentral also lists the same sequence under 67 other names. Lineage: Eukaryota; Fungi; Ascomycota; Eurotiomycetes; Eurotiales; Trichocomaceae. The record is from RNAcentral.